AUGCACGUUUGUGAAAAACGCGUUUGUUUUGUAAAACCGUGUGAUUCCGUAGUGUCGUUCCAAGAACGUGCAUUUAGCUAGCGUGCAACUAUAUUGUUCCUAAUCAAGGAAUAGCUCAUCAGUUUCUAGUUUAAACGUAGCUAAACUACGUGUCCGAUUGACCGUGUUUGACCCGACAGUUGACUGCCGUUGCCUAAGAUUUGUCCGGUUGACGUGUUGACCCGAAAACUCAAACCGAAACCAGUUGACCGAUUCGAACAAAAUCUGACCGUUGACUCGAACUGAACCUGUGUUGACCCGAGUUGAUUCAGGUUUGACUCAGUCAACCCGGUGUUGACUGCGUUUGACCCGUUGACCGAACACCAUUUUUGACCCGAUUACUCGAACAAAUCUGAAGUGAACCAAGACUGACCAAGCCGUGACCCAGGACAAAACCCGAACCAGAACGGUUGUUGCCGUGUCUCACCACCACCACCAUGUCAAGCGGCUGACGAUAAUCUCCACCCGAACGGAACGGAACGUCACCGGAAAAGCUCGUUGGCAAAGUGCCUUACCACCGCCAUCAUCUUCGUCGGAGAUUCAUUGUCACUCAGCAUCAUCAUCUUCCUGAAACGUCAUCAUCAUUGCCAACUACCAUCCGCAACCCACCUCCUCCGCCGCUGAGACACCGCGUCGCUGCCGCCAUGUGCGACGGCUUUCAUUUUGCUUCAGAUCUACAAGUGUGAGAGGGGGGGGGGGUCGUCUGCUGGAAACAAUCCACCACCGGUUGGUUAACCGGCUUCGAUCAUCGGUUUUGAGCGGCGAGGAGAGAGACCGAGAGGAGGGGGUAUGGCUGAGGUCGAAAGUGUUUGAGGCAGAUGAAUGUUACAUCUUGAAUGGGUUUUGAAAAGAUGAAGUCUUUAUGCAUUUGUGUGUGU
RNAcentral lists this long non-coding RNA (917 nucleotides) under Helianthus annuus (common sunflower). RNAcentral's name for it is "sRNA HanXRQr2_Chr07g0288051". The record is from RNAcentral. Lineage: Eukaryota; Viridiplantae; Streptophyta; Magnoliopsida; Asterales; Asteraceae.